RNAcentral lists this ribosomal RNA (686 nucleotides) under Oryza rufipogon (brownbeard rice). RNAcentral's name for it is "eukaryotic LSU rRNA". The stretch from base 241 to 396 matches the Rfam family "5.8S ribosomal RNA". The record is from RNAcentral. Lineage: Eukaryota; Viridiplantae; Streptophyta; Magnoliopsida; Poales; Poaceae.
UCGUAACAAGGUUUCCGUAGGUGAACCUGCGGAAGGAUCAUUGUCGUGACCCUGACCAAAACAGACCGCGAACGCGUCACCCCUGCCCGCCGAGCGCUCGCGCGCGAGGCAACCGAGGCCCCCGGGCCGCAACAGAACCCACGGCGCCGACGGCGUCAAGGAACACAGCGAUACGCCCGCGCCGCCCGGUCGGCCCUGGCCGUCCGGCGGCGCGGCGCGAUACCACGAGUUAAUCCACACGACUCUCGGCAACGGAUAUCUCGGCUCUCGCAUCGAUGAAGAACGUAGCGAAAUGCGAUACCUGGUGUGAAUUGCAGAAUCCCGUGAACCAUCGAGUCUUUGAACGCAAGUUGCGCCCGAGGCCAUCCGGCCGAGGGCACGCCUGCCUGGGCGUCACGCCAAAAGACGCUCCACGCGCCCCCCCUAUCCGGGAGGGCGCGGGGACGCGGUGUCUGGCCUCCCGCGCCUCGCGGCGCGGCGGGCCGAAGCUCGGGCUGCCGGCGAAGCGUGCCGGGCACAGCGCAUGGUGGACAGCUCACGCUGGCUCUAGGCCGCAGUGCACCCCGGCGCGCGGCCGGCGCGAUGGCCCCUCAGGACCCAAACGCACCGAGAGCGAACGCCUCGGACCGCGACCCUAGGUCAGGCGGGACUACCCGCUGAGUUUAAGCAUAUCAAUAAGCGGGAGG